AGAGUUUGAUCAUGGCUCAGGACGAACGCUGGCGGCGCGCCUAACACAUGCAAGUCGAACGAGCGAGAGAGAGCUUGCUUUCUCGAGCGAGUGGCGAACGGGUGAGUAACGCGUGAGGAACCUGCCUCAAAGAGGGGGACAACAGUUGGAAACGACUGCUAAUACCGCAUAAGCCCACGGGUCGGCAUCGACCAGAGGGAAAAGGAGUAAUCCGCUUUGAGAUGGCCUCGCGUCCGAUUAGCUAGUUGGUGAGGUAACGGCCCACCAAGGCGACGAUCGGUAGCCGGACUGAGAGGUUGAACGGCCACAUUGGGACUGAGACACGGCCCAGACUCCUACGGGAGGCAGCA
Molecule: ribosomal RNA, 350 nt
Filed under: uncultured bacterium
Lineage: Bacteria
Description: bacterial SSU rRNA
Rfam family: Bacterial small subunit ribosomal RNA
Source: RNAcentral